GAGUGGAUUGCCAUUUCCUACUCCAGGGGACCUUCCUGACCCAGGAAUUGAACCUGCAUUUCUUGUGUCUGCUGCAUUGAUAGCCAGAUUCUUUACCACAGUGCCCCUGGGAAGCCCAUACAUGUAUCCAUCUUCCUCCAAACUCUCCUUCCAUCCAGGCCGCCACAUCACAUUGAGCAGAGUUCCAUAAUAUAUACAUUUUG
Molecule: long non-coding RNA, 203 nt
Organism: Cervus elaphus (red deer)
Lineage: Eukaryota; Metazoa; Chordata; Mammalia; Artiodactyla; Cervidae
Exons: 3
Source: RefSeq, a predicted model, not a curated record